RNAcentral lists this non-coding RNA (225 nucleotides) under Clostridium neonatale. RNAcentral describes it as "T-box". It matches the Rfam family "T-box leader". Rfam says of the family: Uncharged tRNA acts as the effector for transcription antitermination of genes in the T-box leader family. T-boxes are found upstream of many aminoacyl-tRNA synthetase genes and some amino acid biosynthetic genes usually in Gram-positive bacteria. The anticodon of a specific tRNA base pairs to a specifier sequence within the T-box motif, and the NCCA acceptor tail of the tRNA base pairs to a conserved bulge in the T-box antiterminator hairpin. Lineage: Bacteria; Bacillati; Bacillota; Clostridia; Eubacteriales; Clostridiaceae. The record is from RNAcentral.
AGUAAUGCGUUGAAUGGAAAGAGUACAUUAGUUAAAGUUUUCAGAGAGGAAUUCUUAAACAAGCUGAAAGGAAUUCUAAAUAGAGAUUAAUGGAAGUGCAUCCGGGAGCAUCUAAGGUGAAGUAAUAGUAGUCUUAGCAGGUAUGCCUGUUACAGCAUAAAUGAGAUGUUGUACUUAUUCGUAUAAUAAUCGGAGUGGAAUCGUGGAUAUUUAUCUGCCUCUGUU